ACAUGUGAGGGCAGUCUGGCUGUGACAUCUGCCACCCCAUUGAUCUCCACAGUUGAUUCAGCUGAUCUGGCUGGCUAGGCGGGUGUCCCCUUCCUCCCUCACCACUACAUGUGCGCCCUUCCCCAAGCUGUGCAGUCCAAGAGGAUGACCUUCCCAGAAUAGAGGAGGACCAGUCUUUGGUCAAGGAAAUACGAGUAGCUGUGCUCCCCUACUAAAGCCUCCAAAUAGGAGGGUCUUGUGCAUGCUAAGCAAGUGCUCUU
This 260-nucleotide small nuclear RNA is filed under the name Jaculus jaculus (lesser Egyptian jerboa). Its description in RNAcentral is "7SK RNA (ENSJJAG00000007975.1)". It matches the Rfam family "7SK RNA". Rfam says of the family: 7SK was discovered as an abundant small nuclear RNA in the mid-70s but a possible function has only recently been suggested. Two independent studies have found that 7SK RNA binds the CDK9/cyclin T complex (known as elongation factor P-TEFb). Lineage: Eukaryota; Metazoa; Chordata; Mammalia; Rodentia; Dipodidae. The record is from RNAcentral.